Molecule: unclassified non-coding RNA, 347 nt
Filed under: soil metagenome
Description: partial contains 5.8S ribosomal RNA, internal transcribed spacer 2, and large subunit ribosomal RNA
Rfam family: 5.8S ribosomal RNA (bases 1-120)
Source: RNAcentral
GAUGAAGAACGUAGUAAAAUGCGAUAAUUAAUGUGAAUUGCAGAAUUCAGUGAAUCAUCGAGUCUUUGAACGCACAUUGCGCCCCCUGGUAUUCCGGGGGGCAUGCCUGUCCGAGCGUCAUUGCUGCCCUCAAGCACGGCUUGUGUGUUGGGCUUCCGUCCCUGGCAACGGGGACGGGCCCAAAAGGCAGUGGCGGCACCAUGUCUGGUCCUCGAGCGUAUGGGGCUUUGUCACCCGCUCCCGUAGGUCCAGCUGGCAGCUAGCCUCGCAACCAAUCUUUUUAACCAGGUUGACCUCGGAUCAGGUAGGGAUACCCGCUGAACUUAAGCAUAUCAAUAAGCGGAGGA